Long non-coding RNA from Anopheles nili, 717 nucleotides. RefSeq lists it as uncharacterized. Lineage: Eukaryota; Metazoa; Arthropoda; Insecta; Diptera; Culicidae. The transcript is spliced from 3 exons. The record is from RefSeq and is a predicted model, not a curated record.
UUUCGCGUGUUGCCGUGAGCAGCCUCACGAGUGCGAGCACUGCACCGGAAGCGGAUUCAGCCUCCGUGUUCUCGAACGCGCUUGUAAAUACGUUUGUGUUUGUGCUCACACCAGAUGUACACUUGUUCCGUGCGUGUUUUUCGUGUUGUGUGUCCCAGGAACAGUACUUCGGUGCGUGCGUGUCGGUGCGUGUGCCUACGUGUGUGUGUUUGUGUGUGAGCGUGUGUGUGCGUGUGUGUAAUUGUGUUGUGUGAAUUCAUGGUGCGUGUGGUCCCAAGCGCUCCACGAGCGGGGUGGCUAAAGUAGGUAUGUCUCAACUUGUGGGCGCCAGAAGGAGAAAUAAAAAAGAAAAAAAAGAAAUAAAGAAACCGUCUGGCCUGGGGGUGAGAAUGAAUGGAUGCGAAACGCGCCUGAUAGUUGUUCCAUUCGAAGGGCCCAAACCGCCCAGCUAGUCCGUUUUCUUUCCCGAAGCCCGUGGCCCUUCCGAACCAGCACCCGCGUCUAUCAAACGAACCGCCAAAGGAACCAACGAACCUCGUCCCUUACAUCGUGCAAGCGCAAAGCGAAUAGUGCGCUGUUCGAACGCUAGGAUAUUCUCGCAAGAUUAUCCGAGCGCUGCACUCGACGAUAAUUAGGAACCAGACGUCAAGAGGGACUAAGGCAAACAACAAGAAGCGGACGGGCAACAGAGCAGUCCCGUUUCACGAGUAUUCCUGC